GACGAACGCUGGCGGCGUGCUUAACACAUGCAAGUCGAACGGAGAUGCCAUAGUUUGCUGGAGUGGAUCAGUGGCGAACGGGUGAGUAACACGUGAGCAACCUGCCCCAGACCCUGGUAUAUGCGCUGGAAACGGCGUCUAACACCGGAUACGCAACUGGCCUGCAUGGGCAUGGUUUGGAAAGUUUUUCGGUUUGGGCUGGGCUCGCGGCCUAUCAGCUUGUUGGUGAGGUAAUGGCUCACCAAGGCGACGACGGGUAGCCGGCCUUAGAGGGCGACCGGCCACACUGGGACUGAGACACGGCCCAGACUCCUACGGGAGGCAGCAGUGGGGAAUAUUGCACAAUGGGCGAAAGCCUGAUGCAGCAACGCCGCGUGAGGGAUGACGGCCUUCGGUUUGUAAACCUCUUUCAGCAGGGAAGAAGCGAUAGUGACGGUACCUGCAGAAGAAGCACCGGCUAACUACGUG
This 468-nucleotide ribosomal RNA is filed under the name uncultured bacterium. Its description in RNAcentral is "partial 16S ribosomal RNA". It matches the Rfam family "Bacterial small subunit ribosomal RNA", at positions 28 to 507 of the family's 1533-position model. The record is from RNAcentral.